GCUUUCCUGUGGCUCAGUUGGUAAAGUACUCUGCUAGCAACGCAAAUGUUGUGGGUUCAAACACCAGGGAAAGCA
Molecule: non-coding RNA, 75 nt
Organism: Danionella cerebrum
Lineage: Eukaryota; Metazoa; Chordata; Actinopteri; Cypriniformes; Danionidae
Source: the annotation of a GenBank genome assembly